This 253-nucleotide ribosomal RNA is filed under the name uncultured bacterium. RNAcentral describes it as "partial 16S ribosomal RNA". It matches the Rfam family "Bacterial small subunit ribosomal RNA", at positions 524 to 776 of the family's 1533-position model. The record is from RNAcentral.
UACGUAGGGUGCAAGCGUUAAUCGGAAUUACUGGGCGUAAAGCGUGCGCAGGCGGUUGUGCAAGGCAAAUGUGAAAUCCCCGGGCUUAACCUGGGAACUGCAUUUGUGACUGCACGGCUAGAGUGCGGCAGAGGGGGAUGGAAUUCCGCGUGUAGCAGUGAAAUGCGUAGAUAUGCGGAGGAACACCGAUGGCGCAGGCAAUCCCCUGGGCCUGCACUGACGCUCAUGCACGAAAGCGUGGGGAGCAAACAGG